UGAGAGUUUGAUCCUGGCUCAGGAUGAACGCUGGCGGAGUGCCUUAGGCAUGCAAGUGGAAUGUCGAUAAUCCCGCAAGGGAUGAUCGGCAUCGCAGACGGGUGAGUACAGCGUAGGAAUUUGCCCAAUGGUGGGGAAUAACUCGCCGAAAGGCGGGCUAAUACCGCAUAAGAUCGCAAGAUGAAAGGCCGUAACUGGCCGCCGAUGGAGAAGCCUACGUCCUAUCAGCUAGUUGGUGGGGUAAAAGCCUACCAAGGCUAUGACGGGUAGCUGGACUGAGAGGUUGGUCAGCCACAAUAGCACUGAGACACGGGCUAUACAUCUACGGAUGGCAGCAACCGGGAAUAUUGCGCAAUGGACGAAAGUCUGACGCAGCGACUCCGCGUGAGGGAUGACGGCCUUCGGGUCUUAAACCUCUUUUGUCCCGCUAUACGGCGGGGAGAAUAAGCACCUGCUAACCACGUGCCAGCAGCCGCGGUAAUACGUGGGGUGCAAGCGUUAUCCGGAUUUACUGGGCGUAAAGAGUUCGUAGGCGUUUUGCCAAGUUUUGUUUGAAAGACCGAGGCUCAACUUCGGAAACGGACGAAAUACUGGCAGAAUCGAGUUAGUUAGGGGGUACUGGAACUAUCAGUGUAGCAGUGAAAUGCGUUGAUAUUGACAGGAACACCAAGGGCGAAGGCAGGUACCUGGGACUUAACUGACGCUGAGGAACGAAAGCUAGGGGAGCGAAACGGAUUAGAGACCCGUGUAGUCCUAGCCGUAAACUAUGUACGCUUGAUCCUUGAUUUCCGCCUUUGGCGGAGCUGGGGGUUGGAGCUAACGCGUGAAGCGUACCGCCUGGGGAGUACGACCGCAAGGUUAAAACUCAAAGGAAUUGACGGGGAAGUGCACAACCAGGGGAGCAUGUGGUUCAAUUCGAUACGAAGCGAAGGACCUUACCCAGACUUGACAUCUCGAAGUUCUACUUUGCAGAAAUGCGAAGGAGUCCGUAAGGAGAUCGAGACAGCUGCUGCAUGGCUGUCGUCAGCUCGUGCCGUGGGGUGUCGACUUAAGUGUCGAAACGAGCGCAACCCUUAUCGCAUGUUCAAUAGUCUUGCGAAACUGCCUUGCGUAUAGCGGGGAGGAAGGAGGGGAUGACGUCAAGUCAGCAUGGCGCUUAUGUCUGGGGCCACACACAUCCUACAAUGGGGAGUAACAACGGGUUGCCAAGCCGCAAGGCGGAGCUAAUCCCAUCAAACCUCCCCCCAGUUCAGAUUGAGGGCUGCAACUCGCCCUCAUGAAGACGGACUUGGUAGUAAUCGCGGAUCAGCAGGCCGCGGUGAAUACGUUCUCACUUCUUGUACACACCGCCCAUCAAGCCAGCAAAGUCGGCAAUACCUGAAACUCUGGGUUUCCCGGGGCAAGGGUAGGGUCGGCGAUGAGGGCUAAGUUGUAAAUUGUUGCAACUUGCAGGAGUAAUUCUGCAAACAAAUCUCGCUGUAUCGGUGGAGCCUAAAUUGAUUUCGGGUAUAUUUCGGUAUACACUUAAUUGACAUGGGAAUACCGAGGGAACCCUUCGGCUUCGCUCAGGGCAAGCCGCUGGGACGCCGUAGAGACUACACGCGAGCGCCGGUAACAAAGGCAUAUUUAAUGGGUAUUAUUCAUGACGCAACCGAGAGAAAGUUAACUUUCCGUAUUGCCCAGAAAAGUGAAGAAUUUCUUCGCUAUUUGAGCAGGGAAUUGGCGCUAUCGGAUAUCAAAUCCUGGAUUUAUAAGGAAGGGAAAACCAGGCAAGUUUGGAUUUUGGAAUUUUCCAAAAAACAUUUGACCGGAAUAAAGAUUAAAUCCAGAAAAGAUAAAGUUGAUUAUCUGAGGGGUUAUUUUGACGCGGAAGGCGGAAUUGCCAGAAAUCCUAAUGUAAGGUUUUACCUGUAUUAUUGUCAAAAGAAUUUUGAUGAAAUGGUGCAGGUGAAAACAAUGCUGGAGGAUAUCGGGAUAAGUUGCGGGAAGAUUCAUAACCCAAACAGGAUAAAAGACCCGGAUUUUUAUAGAUUUUAUAUCAGAGCAAAAUCUUAUACGGAUUUUGCCCGAAAAAUUGGGUCGUUGCAUCCUGAAAAGAUGUCUUUGUUGAGGAUGAAGAUAUAGUCCAAGCCCCGAUGAAAAUCGGGGAGCACCUUGAACAAGGUAUCCCUAGCCGAAGCUGGGGAUGGAUCACCUCCUU
Molecule: ribosomal RNA, 2200 nt
Filed under: Candidatus Amesbacteria bacterium GW2011_GWA1_44_24
Lineage: Bacteria; Candidatus Amesiibacteriota
Also listed under: 2 other names
Description: bacterial SSU rRNA
Rfam family: Bacterial small subunit ribosomal RNA (bases 1-1465)
Source: RNAcentral